CAGUCGCCGCGGUAAUACGAAGGGGGCUAGCGUUGCUCGGAAUCACUGGGCGUAAAGGGUGCGUAGGCGGGUCUUUAAGUCAGGGGUGAAAUCCUGGAGCUCAACUCCAGAACUGCCUUUGAUACUGAAGAUCUUGAGUUCGGGAGAGGUGAGUGGAACUGCGAGUGUAGAGGUGAAAUUCGUAGAUAUUCGCAAGAACACCAGUGGCGAAGGCGGCUCACUGGCCCGAUACUGACGCUGAGGCACGAAAGCGUGGGGAGCAAACAGGAUUAGAUACCCGUGUAGUCCCUGUCUCUUAUAA
This 301-nucleotide ribosomal RNA is filed under the name uncultured bacterium. Its description in RNAcentral is "partial 16S ribosomal RNA". It matches the Rfam family "Bacterial small subunit ribosomal RNA", at positions 509 to 809 of the family's 1533-position model. The record is from RNAcentral.